AUUGGUGCUUGCAUCAUGAUUUACAUUUGAGUGAGUGGCGAACUGGUGAGUAACACGUGGGAAACCUGCCCAGAAGCGGGGGAUAACACCUGGAAACAGAUGCUAAUACCGCAUAACAACUUGGACCGCAUGGUCCGAGCUUGAAAGAUGGCUUCGGCUAUCACUUUUGGAUGGUCCCGCGGCGUAUUAGCUAGAUGGUGGGGUAACGGCUCACCAUGGCAAUGAUACGUAGCCGACCUGAGAGGGUAAUCGGCCACAUUGGGACUGAGACACGGCCCAAACUCCUACGGGAGGCAGCAGUAGGGAAUCUUCCACAAUGGACGAAAGUCUGAUGGAGCAACGCCGCGUGAGUGAAGAAGGGUUUCGGCUCGUAAAACUCUGUUGUUAAAGAAGAACAUAUCUGAGAGUAACUGUUCAGGUAUUGACGGUAUUUAACCAGAAAGCCACGGCUAACUACGUGCCAGCAGCCGCGGUAAUACGUAGGUGGCAAGCGUUGUCCGGAUUUAUUGGGCGUAAAGCGAGCGCAGGCGGUUUUUUAAGUCUGAUGUGAAAGCCUUCGGCUCAACCGAAGAAGUGCAUCGGAAACUGGGAAACUUGAGUGCAGAAGAGGACAGUGGAACUCCAUGUGUAGCGGUGAAAUGCGUAGAUAUAUGGAAGAACACCAGUGGCGAAGGCGGCUGUCUGGUCUGUAACUGACGCUGAGGCUCGAAAGUAUGGGUAGCAAACAGGAUUAGAUACCCUGGUAGUCCAUACCGUAAACGAUGAAUGCUAAGUGUUGGAGGGUUUCCGCCCUUCAGUGCUGCAGCUAACGCAUUAAGCAUUCCGCCUGGGGAGUACGGCCGCAAGGCUGAAACUCAAAGGAAUUGACGGGGGCCCGCACAAGCGGUGGAGCAUGUGGUUUAAUUCGAAGCUACGCGAAGAACCUUACCAGGUCUUGACAUACUAUGCAAAUCUAAGAGAUUAGACGUUCCCUUCGGGGACAUGGAUACAGGUGGUGCAUGGUUGUCGUCAGCUCGUGUCGUGAGAUGUUGGGUUAAGUCCCGCAACGAGCGCAACCCUUAUUAUCAGUUGCCAGCAUUAAGUUGGGCACUCUGGUGAGACUGCCGGUGACAAACCGGAGGAAGGUGGGGAUGACGUCAAAUCAUCAUGCCCCUUAUGACCUGGGCUACACACGUGCUACAAUGGAUGGUACAACGAGUUGCGAACUCGCGAGAGUAAGCUAAUCUCUUAAAGCCAUUCUCAGUUCGGAUUGUAGGCUGCAACUCGCCUACAUGAAGUCGGAAUCGCUAGUAAUCGCGGAUCAGCAUGCCGCGGUGAAUACGUUCCCGGGCCUUGUACACACCGCCCGUCACACCAUGAGAGUUUGUAACACCCAAAGUCGGUGGGGUAACCUUUUAGGAACCAGCCGCCUAAGGUGACAAGAA
Molecule: ribosomal RNA, 1424 nt
Filed under: Lactiplantibacillus plantarum
Lineage: Bacteria; Bacillati; Bacillota; Bacilli; Lactobacillales; Lactobacillaceae
Description: bacterial SSU rRNA
Rfam family: Bacterial small subunit ribosomal RNA
Source: RNAcentral